This 399-nucleotide ribosomal RNA is filed under the name Salmonella enterica subsp. enterica serovar Bareilly. RNAcentral's name for it is "partial 23S ribosomal RNA". It matches the Rfam family "Bacterial large subunit ribosomal RNA", at positions 667 to 1063 of the family's 2925-position model. Lineage: Bacteria; Pseudomonadati; Pseudomonadota; Gammaproteobacteria; Enterobacterales; Enterobacteriaceae. The record is from RNAcentral.
CGGAGGGAAACCGAGUCUUAAUUGGGCGUUAAGUUGCAGGGUAUAGACCCGAAACCCGGUGAUCUAGCCAUGGGCAGGUUGAAGGUUGGGUAACACUAACUGGAGGACCGAACCGACUAAUGUUGAAAAAUUAGCGGAUGACCUGUGGCUGGGGGUGAAAGGCCAAUCAAACCGGGAGAUAGCUGGUUCUCCCCGAAAGCUAUUUAGGUAGCGCCUCGUGAAUUCAUCUCCGGGGGUAGAGCACUGUUUCGGCUAGGGGGCCAUCCCGGCUUACCAACCCGAUGCAAACUGCGAAUACCGGAGAAUGUUAUCACGGGAGACACACGGCGGGUGCUAACGUCCGUCGUGAAGAGGGAAACAACCCAGACCGCCAGCUAAGGUCCCAAAGUCAUGGUUAAG